This 442-nucleotide ribosomal RNA is filed under the name uncultured bacterium. RNAcentral's name for it is "partial 16S ribosomal RNA". It matches the Rfam family "Bacterial small subunit ribosomal RNA", at positions 338 to 795 of the family's 1533-position model. The record is from RNAcentral.
CCUACGGGCGGCAGCAGUGGGGAAUAUUGGGCAAUGGGCGCAAACCUGACCCAGCAACGCCGCGUGAAGGAAGAAGGCUUUUGGGUUGUAAACUUCUUUUAAGGGGGAAGAGCAGAAGACGGUACCCCUUGAAUAAGCCACGGCUAACUACGUGCCAGCAGCCGCGGUAAUACGUGGGUGGCAAGCGUUGUCCGGAUUUACUGGGUGUAAAGGGCGUGCAGCCGGAGAGAGAAGUCAGAUGUGAAAUCCACGGGCUCAACCCGUGAACUGCAUUUGAAACUGGUUCCCUUGAGUGUCGGAGAGGUAAUCGGAAUGCGUGGUGUAGCGGUGAAAUGCGUAGAUAUAAGGAAGAACACCAGUGGCGAAGGCGGAUUACUGGACGAUAACUGACGGUGAGGCGCGAAAGCGUGGGGAGCGAACAGGAUUAGAUACCCUUGUAGUC